UCCUUGAGACUCAGGAGGACCAAAGC
This 26-nucleotide non-coding RNA is filed under the name Homo sapiens (human). The record is from RNAcentral. Lineage: Eukaryota; Metazoa; Chordata; Mammalia; Primates; Hominidae.